Lolium perenne is the source of this 2973-nucleotide non-coding RNA. Lineage: Eukaryota; Viridiplantae; Streptophyta; Magnoliopsida; Poales; Poaceae. The record is from RefSeq and is a predicted model, not a curated record.
GGCUAAUACCGGACCUCAACAUCCGCCGGCAGGUCCUCGAACCUAAGCAAGUGGCGGCCGCGUGGCCGCCGGCGCGUUUCCGACUCCACGGCAAGCGGCAACGUCGGCGGCUAAAGCGGGAAGUGCGCGUCCGUGAUGGACAGAUAAGCCUCCGGCUGUAGCACUCUGCAUUUUUUUUUUUCUCUUUCUUCCUUUGACACCCCCGUUUCUAUCAUUUGCAGGACCAGUGGCGGAAGAAAACGAGCCAAUCACAAAAAAUCCUUCUCCCCAGCUUUUCUCACCUCCUACACAGCAUCUUAUCUCUUUAAUUUGCCGUUCGAGUGCUCGAUCUGUUUUCCAUUUUUUCCUCUCCUCUUAAUACCUUCCGUAAUCUGAUUAUUGCAUCGUUUCAGGCGGUUCAUGAGUUUGAUGUACUAGAUGGAGGUACAUUCAGUUCAGAAUCUGCAGACCUGAAGAAUGUUGGUGUACAUGUAAGUAUGUAUCUGGCUACUUCCAUUUUGGCAUUUGGAUCUGGGUAGCCUGAUGUUCAGCUCGCCGUCAUCAAUGAAGGUUGACGCAGAAUGUAUAAGCAUCAAGGUUUCCCUACUUCAAGCCACAUAAUGACAAUGGAUGUCAUUCCUUGCAAAUUUGAGUUCUCAAGGACAGAAGGUAUAAACAUCAAGGUUUCCCCAUUUCAAGCCACAGAAUGACAGUGGAUGUCAUUCCUUGCAAAUUUGAGUUCUCAAGGUGUAGCUCACCGUCAAUGCUCGAUGAAAGAUAUUGUGAUUUACAUUUCACAUGGUACAUUUCAUAGCUUUAUUUUGAUUUUCCUCGACCAUUUUUUAUUAUGUCUAGAUUCAUGGGAAGAACAUGGCCAAGAGGGUUGGUGGAUUUUAUGCUUGCUAUAUACUCACUUGUAUGAUAUGUUGAGAUCAAGGCUUCAAUUCAGAUCAAGGCUUUUAUGCAAAUCUUCAUGUCUAGAUUCUCUGCCGGCUGAUAUCUGUAACAAGAUUAGUUCUGAACUGUGUGUUUGUUGGCGCUGGUUCCCUGGAGUUCUGUUGUUGAAACCACCUUGAUCUGCUAAUUCUUUUUUCCUUCAUUACUGCUGUAUAGGCUCUUCUACUGCUCCCGCCUCCAUGUUCUUUGUAUCUUUAACCGUUUUUCUACCUUAAUAUAAGUGAAAACAGGGAUGCUUUCUACUCUACCUUUUCCGUGUGAACCUUGAGUCGGGCUCCCCUCUUUUCGUGCUUAUGGAUUAGCUAGCAGCAUUUACUUUCGAGUACCGAGUACGCCUGCGAGAAGACUUACUAAGGCUUGCGCCAAGGUCCACUACUAUGUCCACUAUCGAUAAGGGUGCUUUAGAUUUUUGGAAUUCCGAUAUGCUGAAAUAAACAUGAUAUUUCUUGUUUGAGAAGAUAAUAUGUACGAUAUUUCGGCGAGGCCCAUUAACCCAAGUGCUUGCUUAUUUGCUGCCCAUCUACACCAUGGAUGCAUAUAAGAGCAAUUGUGACGGUUUAGUGAAAUACAAUCCGUGGAUGAGACUCCUACAACCUGAAUAAAGGUAUUUUGGAUAAUUGUUUCGACCUCUACAAGCAUGUACUAUGUGCCUCACAUGGUAUAACUAUGAAGAAGUGCUUGAUGAAUCUGUACAUGACGGCACAUACGGGCUGCUUCCAGGUUUUAGUACAUUCAGUUCCUCUUUUAAGAUUGAGAAGUUGAGAUAUGAGAAUCCACUAGGUUUUUCAGCUUAGAUGAUUGACUAUGGAUAAUCCUUCCAUAACUUCCGGUGUGUCCUGGUCUUCAUCAAACCAACUAAUUAACUAAGCAUAUAUUAUUUGUUUUUCACUGAAAGUAAAUAUUAAGAAACAUAUUCUGUACUGUUCAUGGUAUUUCCAUUCAUUAGUAGUUAGGUUCAUGUCAGAUCUCAGUCAAGUAUUUCCUGCUUAAUGUAUUUUUUCUUACAUUUGUUUGUUUUGUUAGAAGCUACAACAUCAUAGUAAAAAAAUGAAAAUCAGUAUGAGGUUGGUACGUUCUUUAUUAUAGCAAGACCUAACCAGGUUAUUUUGCAUGUGCAGCUGUCAGGAGUAUUUUUCUUAACAUGUGUCUUACUCAAUGCAGGUGGUCAUCACUGAUAACCAAUAUCGCAUUGGUGCUUUGGUUCGGAUUAGGAGUCUUCAUGAUGUUCUGCCAUUGUUUGCCUAGAUAGUUGGUGUGCCAUGAAAGUACCUAUUUUAUUUUUUCCCGCUAUUGUCUUCUAACUGACAGAUAUGUUAUGUUAGUAGACGAUACAUCCAAGGUAUGUUUCCUAAAUGGAGUCAAAAUUUGAAAUUUAUCUCCUGAUCUUGAGAUAUGAAGCAAUUAUUUGUCUCAGGAAAAGAGAGGGUCUAAUUCAACUGUGAUGACUUUUGCAAUUUGAACAGUGUAUUACUAUUUCUCAUUGUAAGCCGAAUUAUUUUAUUACUAUCUGAAAAAUGUCAUCGCACAAUUCAACAUGAAAUGUAGGAGGCUAAAUUUUGUAACACAUUUAUAAUAGCGAUAAUCUUGGAUUUGAAGUGACUUGUGGUAACUGGUGAAAUAUUACUAAAGUUACUCGACAAACUCCAUCACUGGCAUUAUCCAGAAGAGAGAAAAAUGGAUCCACCACACAAUCACAUUUCAUGUCAUACUGCUGUUUGUUGCAUUCAUACAACGGCUUAUGCUCCUUUCGUUCCUGUUGUUAGUGCUGUUGCUAAUCUUUGUAACUGAGGACUUACUCAAAACCAUCAUAAUCCUGUUAAAGGAUAUGUUUUCUUUGCUUGCUUUAGUAUCCCUUAUUCUUAAAUAUAUGUAGCUUCUUUACUGAAUAAGGUAGUUUACAAGCUCUGGCGGGGGUCGCCCCACCAAGUAGGCAAGCCUCAUGCUUCCAGGCAUGCUCCCGCAGGAACUUUUUGCUCUUUAAAAAGCCCCCUAUAUUUUUUAUUCCGGGAUUUAUAUGUCCUCUUUUAUGGCAAAUCA